AGAUUAGCUUGCUUUAUUUGUCAGCUAAGUGGCGCACGGGUGAGUAAUGUAUAGAUAACCUGCCCUCUAGAAAGGAAUAACAGUUGGAAACGACUGCUAAUGCCCUAUAUGCCUUUAAUACAUAAGUAUGCAAGGGAAACGCUUUAGUGCUAGAGGAUGGGUCUGUAUGGUAUCAGCUAGUUGGUGAGGUAAUGGCUCACCAAGGCUAUGACGCCUAACUGGUUUGAGAGGAUGAUCAGUCACACUGGAACUGAGACACGGUCCAGACUCCUACGGGAGGCAGCAGUGGGGAAUAUUGCACAAUGGACGAAAGUCUGAUGCAGCAACGCCGCGUGGAGGAUGACACAUUUCGGUGCGUAAACUCCUUUUAUAUAGGAAGAUAAUGACGGUACUAUAUGAAUAAGCACCGGCUAACUCCGUGCCAGCAGCCGCGGUAAUACGGAGGGUGCAAGCGUUACUCGGAAUCACUGGGCGUAAAGAGCGUGUAGGCGGGUAUAUAAGUCAGAAGUGAAAUCCUAUAGCUUAACUAUAGAACUGCUUUUGAAACUGUAUACCUAGAAUGUGGGAGAGGUAGAUGGAAUUUCUGGUGUAGGGGUAAAAUC
This 602-nucleotide ribosomal RNA is filed under the name uncultured Arcobacter sp. RNAcentral describes it as "bacterial SSU rRNA". It matches the Rfam family "Bacterial small subunit ribosomal RNA", at positions 64 to 688 of the family's 1533-position model. The record is from RNAcentral. Lineage: Bacteria; Pseudomonadati; Campylobacterota; Epsilonproteobacteria; Campylobacterales; Arcobacteraceae.